Molecule: unclassified non-coding RNA, 240 nt
Filed under: Hevea brasiliensis (rubber tree)
Lineage: Eukaryota; Viridiplantae; Streptophyta; Magnoliopsida; Malpighiales; Euphorbiaceae
Source: RNAcentral
AUCUGCUAGUACCAUGAACAACAUGAAUGCCAAGAGAGUGCAAAAUAUGUGAAGCGUGAGAUCCACAACAGAAAGCUACCAAAGUCCACGCAAACGCCACGCGAUUCGUACUCUUGACAAGCAACUCUUCUUUUUUCUGAACCAUCUCUCGCCACUUUUUCACAUUCUCUUUCACUCCGAGACCCGAAACCCUCCUCUUCGACUCGAAUCCGCAAUCAGUCAAUCUCCGACCAAGACUAU